GCCCUCCGCUGUCAGAAGGACAACCAGACGGUUGAGAACACAGACACAGAAAAGAUCAGUACGGCCCGUGCAAGGACGACACGCCAAUCUGUGAAGCGUUCCACAGUUUU
This 110-nucleotide small nuclear RNA is filed under the name Peromyscus maniculatus bairdii (prairie deer mouse). The record is from RNAcentral. Lineage: Eukaryota; Metazoa; Chordata; Mammalia; Rodentia; Cricetidae.